UCUUCCAGAUACAUGAACAAACAUUUCCCACUGCAGCGAAAAGGAAGUGAAAAUCAAAAUCUAGAUAGCUGCUCUGAAAACCUAAGCAUUCCUAUUGAAACAUGAUCCCACAGCUAGUGAGGCUGAAGUAGAAAACAUCAUUGUGUGUGCUUCACAAUUCCCCUUUAUAAGGGAAACUGAACAGUUUCUUAUGCCUUGAGACAGGGAAGAAAAGUGCUUAGUAGCUUUUUGAGGCCCCCUACAUAUUACUGGUCCACAACUUAACCACAGCAAUGCCAGUGGAGUCACAAAAGGGACGAAAUCAGCCAUCCCUGCUAUGGGAAUAGGUGUGUGCAAGACAGAUUUCUCUGUUUUCUCUCCCCACAACAUCUUGUCUUCUUAAAACCUGUUCCUUGCUUAUGUCUGCUGGGAGGAUGACUCCAUAAAGAAAUCUGGGCAACUGCCCAAGGCAAUCUGUAAGAAAAUUUUAUGUGAAAGAAUCUCUUUCUUUUCCUCAGCUUCUGCCUCCCUGGCAUCAAGCCUCAAGCCAAGGAGGCUGCCCACUGCCAUUGAGGAGCUCUGCAAACCAAGCAAUGCACUGCUGCUUCCUCAGUAGGCAAACAGAGAUGGCAUACUCCCACUAUAACAGCAAAGCUCUUGACAAUCACAGGAAUUACUCAAUUUAGGCCUUCAGAAUAAGGCUGAAUCCUGCAAGACUAAUGUAUCUGGGGAAGAGCCGAGAGCUGCUGGGAACCUCUGAAGGCAGCAGGAUAUGAUGCCUUGCAGAACAGGCACUGAACUGCUUGCUGUCCUGCCUCCCUGCCCUAGUUCUAGCAUGAUUCAGAGGCUGAAAAUACAGACUGACUUUGCUUUGGAACCUCUGAAUUGCUCAAGCCCGGUAGUUGCUUUGGUGCUGAAGCAGUACAUUACUUUGUUAUUCGCAGGAAAUAUCUUUGCUCCAGGUAUAAUCCUGUGUUUCCUGGGACACUCAAAGCAGUACAUCUUCCCUCCUUCAAACCCUGAGCAGGAAUAUACAGUAAUCUCAGAUUGUACUGGUGAGGUUAAUUAAUGAACUGGAGAUCUCUGCUGCCCUGUCCUAAACAAAGAACCAAAAUGAGAUGCUUAGCAUACUAGUUAAUGUUCUUUAUAUUAAGAAAGUAAAUCCAGUGGCGGCCAAGCAGACUGAUAGCAAGAUCAAACAUUAAUUCUAGCCACAGCCAAGAGCUCUUUUAGGUGUUUAGGUGGCAAUGACCUGUCCUCUGAACAAAUAACAUGGUCACAAAUAACUCUUCCCAGGGAUACUGAGCACUGGGUGGGUAUGGUUGAAAGCUGGCUUCACCACUUGCUAUCUGGGAAAGUCCUUCCUGAGGAUGGAUACAGGCCAGGAGUAUAGAUAACAGCAAAGCCUCUACCUGAAAACCUGAAGAAAAAAAAAAAACAGUGCAGAGAAGCUUGUAUCCAAAUACUGUGGAUGAGACUGAUGCUCCAAAGGGUGUUACUGGAUUUGCAGGUCAUUCGAUAGUAAAAAUCAUAGUAGGAAAGUUGGCAUGUUGGCAAAGCCAUUAAACCCUGCAGUUUAUUGAACAGAUGGCAGAGAAGCCCGAGAGGCUGAUACAGGAAAUACCUAUUUAGCAGAGCUGAGUUAGCUGGGCAUAAACAGGAGUGGGAGACCACUGGCUUUUCUAGGAAACAUCUUUUCCUCCUCCCUCUGCAUGUUACUUUUAGCUAAGAUGGGUUGCCUGAAGGCACAUUCUGCUUAACAUGCCAGCACAUUUCUUGCUUGUUUACUAUUUUAAGAGUAUCAGUGAUUUCCUAGAUUACUUGUACCACAUUGGGAAAUCCUGGCUGUCAGUGGGCCAGCUCCCAGAGCAAGGGAUGUCAGAUGAGGAAAGAGCCCAAGCAGAGCCAAUGGGAACAAAGAGAGGGGCCCAAAUGGAAAGCAGUGGCUGGAAAAGCCAAUGGAAAGUGGAAAGCCAGUCCAUGCUCCCUCUCUCCCCAUGUGAGAUCUGAGGCUCUGGCGUUGGCUAUUUAGUUGCAGAUGCACAAAGCCACAUUGCUUCUCAGUUCACUGAGAAACCAUAAAUUGAGAAGUGCCCCUCUUAUGUCAAAGGCAUGCCCUAGGUGGCAAAGGCAGUGGUAGAAAUGCCCACCUGAGGGGCUGUCAGGGAGAAGAUAUAUAGGAAAAAGACACACAGGAAAUACAGAGGUCUGUAUUUCCAGAAGACAAAUCUCAGUGGCUGUGCUGAAAAACACUAGUGCAGACUUUAAGGCAGCAAAAUGACAUAGCUGCCAGUGUUCUGCACUAGCAUAAAUCCCCACGAGUUCUGAGCUGUAGAUUAGGAAAGGGCUCCAGGGGACUUAGGCUGUCUGUGAGAGCCUUUCACUCUGCAAAUGUAAUUGCUUCAAAUAUAAGUCAUCCCCUCCCUCCCCACUCAGCUACAUGGCCAUGAGAAACCUUGGAGGAAACUCCCAAAUAUUUCACUGAUAAAUUCACUUGGUAAUGAAGGUGGUUAGAUGUCUAUGUACCCUAUAUCCUAAGGAAAAAAGAAAAGCAUUUCUUUCUUUUAUAUCAGAAGGUGCUUUGGUUCUUAGGGAAUGUGAUUUUGUUUGAAAGGGACGUUCGCACUACUGGUUAUCCAUCUGGAAUGAAGGAAAUGAGAGACCUCAGCCUCCUUCUCCUGAAAAUUCAUUCUGAAAGGCACAGUGACAGAGUUAAACCAGUAGGAUGCUGGUGACCCAAGUGAGCAAUGAGAUGACUGAUCUCUCAGAAGGGGCUGUGCAUGACUGGGUGGAACCACUGGGAGGUUUAGCAAGGUCUGGGGGCUGAUUCCAGUGAACCAGACAUGGAGAGGAAAACACAAAGCAUGGCAACUUGAGGUGAAGACUGAGGCUGCGCCGAGGGAGCAAGAAGUGAGAGGAAAGGAGUGAGAGGGGAACUAUUCCCUUCAGAGAUAAGACACUGGGGGACACGCUGAGCAGAAAGCUCAGAUGAGGAAGAACAGAAGCCCCUUUGUAAGAUGGAGACUGCAGUGUAAGAGGAAUCCUCUUCCUUGCUCACCUUAGCUUUGUUGUCCAUGGUAACAGCCAGCUGCAUCCUCUUGCCCAUUCUGAAUGUGAACAUAUGAUCUGCUUCCUCCUCCUCCUCCUCUUCCUCACUGCCAAUGCCAAAUCCAGUGCUCACAGGGCAGGGGCUCUUUUUCUCACUCACAACCCUUUUGUCCUGGAAAAUGAAGCACUUCUGUUAGUAAAUCCAAGCCCCUCAGCUCACCAGUGCACUCCCCUUCCCCAAACACACCUGCACACAAGCAGGGCAGACCAGUUAUGGAAUGGUAGGCCUCGCCCUGGGAAAGCUUUCUGUGCAUGGCACUGUGCUGUGACAUUCCUGCAGAACAAGGGGCUCAUUGUCUGCUCAGCAGCAAAACCCACAAUUACAGUGGGUAUGGAAAAUCCUUUGCACUUACAAAUCUGACAUUUCAGACUAAAGUGCCAGAGUUUUAUCUCUUUCUGCAGCACUCUGAGUUAGAUCAGAAAAGUCUAAGUCCUGAUGGAGAUUGCCUGGGAAGCCAAGAGGAUGGCUCCUGAGGGUCAGUGCUCACCAUCGAGAGGGCUUGGCUAUCUUGUCCAUAGUGUUCAGUCUGGGUAAUUGCAUCUUUCAGGUCCUGUAUGAGAGAAAAAUGUGUGCAACAGAGCACCUCCAGAGAAAAGCAAGGGCCAGGGCAUGGUAAAGUAAGCAAGGCAGUAGCCUGGAUCUAACAACCCAAGAGUGCUGAUGGUGCAGAAGGAGGGUGGGCCAGCUCAGUCUGGCUUUGGGCUUCCCCAGGGGCUAACACAGGACUCGCCUGGUGAUUUAGCAAGGCCACACACUGCCAGGAGGAGAGGAUAAGGUUUGUCAGAUACAGGUUUAAUGCUGUCAGAAAGGAUGCCUGGGACUUGUAGCAUUUGCUUCAAAGCCCCCAGGUAACUAUAGGCUAUUUGAUUGCAAGUACAAAGCCUAAGAAGGCCGUGAUUUCACCCAGUCUGCAGGUAUCUUCAGCUGUGUUCCUGAUGUCUCCAAUGGCACAUACACAUCUUACACGUUCUGUCUAUAUUUUUGCAACAGCAUUCACACCUGGGACCCAUCCAGGGCUAACUGUUCACUUACUCACUUAUUUGCAUGCUUGCUCAUUCUGAACGCUUGGGUACAGGUGCCUGGGCACGACUGGAAAUGAGUGGAUCAGCAAACAACACUUUGGGCACUUUGAGCUUUUACACCCUUAUAGGAAUGUUUAGGAGCUACAUUCCAUGCCUGAAAGAGUUUUGCACUGGACGCUGUCUCCUUCAGCAACGCCACUUGUGAAGCUCAUGGAGGCAGGACUGAAGCUUGUGGUGGCUUGUGGUGAAGAGGCAUUCACUCACUUACAUUGUGAGCUUUGGUGAUGGUAAUAGUGAGUCCAUCUUGCUUGGGUUUCCUGGAGGUAACAGCCAUUCCCUCCUGCUCAGCUCGUUUUUUGUCCUCUUCUAUUUCCUGAAACAGAUAUAUCCUCAUUAUUGGCCUGUACACAGCUGUCCGCAGGCUUUGUAAAGUUCCUGUUUAGAAUUUUUCCUAAAUGGACACAACUCCAGCUCUGAAAGAAAGUGGACCAACUUGAGACCGAUCAGUGUGCCCUUUGAAUGAGUGACAGGCAGCUGGGACAUGUGAAGAGGCUGGGACGCACCUGGCCUGCAGAAAGGGAAGGCUCUGAACAGGAGCCAGAGUCUCUGUGCCAGACUGGGGUCAUCAUCUCUGGCCAGUGACCUGCUCUGGCAUCUCUGGCUGUGAUCUGCUUACCUAUUAGGCAGCUUCUUCUUGAAGCCAAGUAGUGGUAGGUAGGACGGUAACAUUUAACAUGAGAGUGAGAAUUCCUCUUCCCUGUGUGCCUGUCACAUUCAACUCAUCCCAUAGAUUUCCACUAGAUACCAUUUUUUUUGCUAUGAUAAAAGAAAUGUUCAGAAUGGUUUUUCUGGUAUCAAAGAAAGUAAGUGUUUUAAGCAAGAUCCAGCCAAGAGCACCACUGAACCGUUUGGCUCUUGGUCCAAGACACAAAACAUGUUCUUUGCCAUUCUCAAGACUGCCCAUCCAGCAGCCCCCAAAGCCAAGUGGUGACUGGAAAAGCCAGGAGAAUAUUCCAGGCAAGCCACGGGGAAUCCUUCUUCCAGAAGUACCCUCAGGAUGUCCCAGUCUGCACUGCUGUAUGCAGACACUCAUGGAGAAGGGUAAACAAACCUAAAGAGAGCUCCAAGUUACCACAGUGUCACACUGAACGGUUGCUACAAGCCAGGCUGGAUAUCUUGUGCAGGUCACUCUCUUGGCCAAGGCCAAUCAAUCCAGGACCAGAAAAAUGAGGUGUUUUUCUCUCCUGUGAGCUCCACAGAAACAUUGGGACUGGCCUGGGACAAGCUUCAGCCCAUACCACUGCCCUGGGCUGGGUGAGGACAGCAAGGGAGAGGACAAAGGCUCUCAAAUGUCUCAGGGAUGCAACCUUCUGUUCAUCCAGGAGAAUAAGCAUGAGGCACUGGGAAGGACAGAAGGGGAAGAAGACAGCGUGUGUGAGAUGAAGAGAUGGGAAAGCUGUGAUGCAGAUGGAGGAAGAGAGCAGGGUGAGAAGAAAUGCUGCAGCAGGAAGGGAAGCAUCGGUGAGCCUGGUUUCUAAUCUGAGGAGCUGUAGCAAAGAGCAGAGUUCGGCUGACCUUCCCCAAGCAUUUUCCUAAGUAAUAAUGCUAUCUAACAAAGUCAUCCACUGCUGACUAUCUUCUUCAUGCUGUGAGUUGUGAGGACUCCAAAACAGAGCUGAGGAAGAUAAGAAUCAAGCAGUCUUACCUGGUAUCUUCGUAUAAGCGCUUCAUUCUUCUUCCGCAGAGCCAGGAUUUUCUUAUCAAGUUCAACAUCUUUCUGUUCUUUCUUCCUUAGCACAGCAUCAUCCACAGUGGCAUCCUGAAAACAUGAAGAGCAAAGUUCUUCUUGGUCAUCACGCUGACAGGACACAAGCUGAUCCUUCUGGGGGAGGCUGAAUGGUCUUUUCCUACCAUUUCCCCCUUUAGACCUCCAUCUAUAAGCACACUGCAUCUUCUAAAUUGAAUUAUUCCAGACAGAAUUGACCUUUCCUACUUUUUUUGUUCCUCAAUGAGGUAACUGGAGUGAAAAAGCAAUACCCCACAUCGAUGGCUGCCAGUAACUCGAGUUACCACACCACUUAAUGCAUGAAGUAAAUGACACCUCUGCCUGCUCUAGGUUCAGGUGCUCUCAGGCACACCCAGUGCACUCCAUUUACAUUCAGACAGCACCUUGGUUACCACAGGGGAUCAGAAAUCACAUUUUAGAAUUCUAGUGACAGGAGCAUCUAGUGAAAAUCAAUGCUGAUGGGUAUCAACACACUGCAGCAAGCUGAUCCAUAUCAUCUAGACCCUGCCUGCUGUUUACAUGAAGAGCAAGGUGGAAAGGCUGAGAUCUCCAAGGCACUACAGGUUUAUUCCCAAACAGUGUUUCUGUACUCUCCUUAUCAGAAUGGCAUCUGCAUGCUGCAGAGAUCUCACAUUCCCCCUCCUCUGCUCACAUAGAGCUGAGUAAGACAAAGUUGGCUUGGGGAGGGGAGGAAAGAAAACUCUUGGUUUAUGGGCAAGGCACUGCACACAUCUAUUUUGCUGCUGUUACAGUUCUAGCCAGCAGGCUACCCACAGCCUGCCCCAUGCAGAAAAUCUGCUGUGGGAGCACUGCUUAGCAGAUCGAGCUGCUGAGUGUGAUGCAUAUUGCCCAAAGUGCAGGGAAAGUUUGGAGGACUCGAGAAGCAAAUGGAACAAAACCAUCAUCCAUCACACUACAACUAGAGGUGGCUCUCAUGGUGAAGAGGUCUGUGCAUGCCUGUAUCCUCUGGGUACAUGGCAUCAGUCUGCCCACUCACUGAUUAAUUGGCUGGAGCCCAGACACAGCCCACCUGCACCAACACUGCCUCUUUGCAGCUCCAGUGCUGCCCAAACCACAGUCCUGUUCCCAUCCCUAGUCUGGAUCAUUCAAGGACUGGCAUCAGAGCCUGCCCUGGAGCACCUCAGCUCCCACUUAGCCCCCAGGGGCACUGAGAAGGACCUGCUGGGAGAAAGCUGGGCCCCAGACUCAGAAACCAGAAUCAGACAUUCAUAGAUACUUAAUCACAAAUAGAAUUGAUUGACAUUUCUUGAAUCAAAGCCAUCUUCCCCAGUAAUCCUAUCAGCCCCACUGCUGAAAUCCAGAACAGCAAAGGCUGGGAAGAGCUUCUGUACAGGCAGGGGUGGUUUUUCCUUCAUUAAUCACAACAUGGCAGGUGCAACCUCCUUCAGGGAAGGAUACGUCAGGGUGCAGUCACGGCUGCUGGGUCACAGGAUCUGGGUCUGACCCUCACCAUGCCCUGCUGCCUUCCCGCCUGUGAUGUCAGCCAGUCUGCCCUGGGUCUCACCUCAAGCCAGCCCGUGGACUUGCAAGGCUAAUUCCUGGGAAGAGAGGGCUUCUCCUGCACUCCUACCUUUUGCCUGGUCCUAAUUAGGUCACCAGAGGAAAAACUGGAGCACUGGAGGUCCGGAGAAGGUACUGUCAAACAAAGCUCUUCCUCAGCUGAGAGAAAACAAAGUGAGAAGCCCGAGGCUUGAAGACUAAGAGUACAACCACAGUGCAAUAACCCAGGGGAAGGAAGGCCUCUGACUGCUCUAUGUUGCCAGCUGUUCGUGCCCUUUAUCCAGUGCUUUACACAGGCUCCAACCUCCUGCAGAUAUGUGUGAUUGCAGUGUGCCUGUACAUCAAAGGAGGCAGAAGUUAGGCACUGUGAACCUGAACCUCAAUUUCGUGUUUCUCACGCAGUGGAGUUAUUAGCAUUUCACCAAAAUGAGAAAUGCAUGGGAAUAUCCCAUGACCGUUUGAGAAAGCAGGAUUCUAGCUGAGCUGCAGGAAUGACCUCCUUUAUGUUAUAAGGCUUUUGGCUUCCUGGGAGACGGGACACCAGGUGAGAAUGAGGGCACAUUUGAUCUGCUGGCCCUUUGGUAAUGGAUAUGUUGCGGUUUCGUCCUGUGCUGGUGCAGAAGCAGCAAACUGGGCUCCUGGUGGCCCACGCUAAUGCAGAAAAUAAUCGUAGGUAGCAUAUGGGAAUUUAGCCAGAGCAUCACUGCUCUUCCAAAAAUGUUAUGGGGCUCCUGGGAACCAGGACUGCAAAUCAUCUGCUGUUGUACAUGGCCAACACUCGCUUUCAAAGGAAGGGAUCCAGCUGCUGAAUCACCAUACAUCCCAGCAAUGCCAGGUAUUCCUUUCAAGGGCUUUACAUGAGAAAGAACAGAGCUAAUGACAUUUCAGCUCUGACCGAGCAAGACUUGUGCUUGAACUUGACCAUCACUGCAAAGAAUAGGGCCACAGCGAGGGGUAGAAAUCUCCCUGCAUAGUGUUCUUUGGAGAGAGGGACUAAAAGCUGAAAGUGUGAUACCAUCACAGAGAAGGGGGUGGGAUGGAUGCGGAUGUUGUCACAAACCAGAGAGGGGAAAGGUAGGAGAACCAGUCUGCACAAGUACACCUUCAAUCAUAUCACCACGAUGGCAUUUUAUCAGUGCUGAUUUAACAGCCCUCACCAGGGCUGCUCUGCCAGGACACGGGAACACAUUCGUGUUCAGGUGGAACAACAGGGACAUUUAAACCACACAGUCACCCACACAUUCUUCUGCUGGACAAUGGGAUUUUGUCGAGGUCUGCGGGAGAACGAAAUGCACUUUCCUAUUGCCAUCUAUCAUUCAGAACUCAAAAGCAAACUCUAGAGACCAACCUUGGCUUCGGGAUCUAAACUGGACUGAAGAUUCUUCAUGGACUGAAGCGGUGUCACACCAUGCUGAUGCUCUAUGGGUUCAGUUUGGGCUCAGCAGGGAGACAGACUUGCAGAAGGAAAAGGUGCGGAGCAGAGGUGACUUGAGAAGGGAGGAGAUGAAAAGAGGAGACAAGGUGACAAAUAUUAAAGAACCAGUUCAACAAUACUCUCCUUGGCUGAAGAGAAAGGGUGGAGGUACCUUAAGUGCUUGCAGACAUUUCCUGUACUAUGUCUGUCUGUUUGGGCACGGCACUCAAGUGUCACCAAACUCCAAAAAAUACCAACAAUCCAUACUCCAGCAGGAUGGAAACCAUGAUUUGAGAGGGUGAACUAAAGCCUAGUUGGAAAUGUUGGUCUUUCUCCUAGCUAUGGUCAUAAUUUGAACCAUGUUGGCCUUGAUUCUCCCUUUGCACAAUUUUUUUCUUUCUAAAAUAAAUAAACAAACAAACAAAUAAACAACAA
Gallus gallus (chicken) is the source of this 9266-nucleotide long non-coding RNA. RefSeq lists it as uncharacterized. The transcript is spliced from 3 exons. The record is from RefSeq and is a predicted model, not a curated record. Lineage: Eukaryota; Metazoa; Chordata; Aves; Galliformes; Phasianidae.